Molecule: unclassified non-coding RNA, 253 nt
Filed under: uncultured Pirellulaceae bacterium
Lineage: Bacteria; Pseudomonadati; Planctomycetota; Planctomycetia; Pirellulales; Pirellulaceae
Description: contains 16S-23S intergenic spacer region
Rfam family: Bacterial small subunit ribosomal RNA
Source: RNAcentral
GACGAACCGUCCAAACGUUAUUCGGAAUCACUGGGCUUAAAGAGUGCGUAGGCGGCUUGGCAAGUUGGGUGUGAAAUCCCUCGGCUCAACCGAGGAACUGCGCUCAAAACUGCCAAGCUUGAGGGAGAUAGAGGUGAGCGGAACUAAUGGUGGAGCGGUGAAGUGCGUUGAUAUCAUUAGGAACACCGGUGGCGAAAGCGGCUCACUGGGUCUCUUCUGACGCUGAGGCACGAAAGCUAGGGGAGCGAACGGG